Molecule: ribosomal RNA, 301 nt
Filed under: uncultured bacterium
Lineage: Bacteria
Description: partial 16S ribosomal RNA
Rfam family: Bacterial small subunit ribosomal RNA
Source: RNAcentral
CAGCCGCCGCGGGAAUACGAAGGGGGCUAGCGUUGUUCGGAUUUACUGGGCGUAAAGCGCACGUAGGCGGAUCGAUCAGUCAGGGGUGGAAUCCCAGAGCUCAACUCUGGAACUGCCUUUGAUACUGUCGAUCUGGAGUAUGGAAGAGGUGAGUGGAAUUCCGAGUGUAGAGGUGAAAUUCGUAGAUAUUCGGAGGAACACCAGUGGUGAAGGCGGCUCACUGGUCCAUUACUGACGCUGAGGUGCGAAAGCGUGGGGAGCAAAUGGGAUUAGAUACCCCCGUAGUCCCUGUCUCUUAUAC